RNAcentral lists this ribosomal RNA (403 nucleotides) under uncultured bacterium. RNAcentral describes it as "bacterial SSU rRNA". It matches the Rfam family "Bacterial small subunit ribosomal RNA", at positions 355 to 774 of the family's 1533-position model. The record is from RNAcentral.
UUGGGAAUCUUGCACAAUGGGGGAAACCCUGAUGCAGCGACGCCGCGUGGAGGAUGAAGGGUCUAGGCCUGUAAACUCCUUUUGCCCGGAAAGACUUAGGACGGUACCGGGAGAAUAAGCACCGGCUAACUACGUGCCAGCAGCCGCGGUAAGACGUAGGGUGCAAGCGUUGUCCGGAUUUACUGGGCGUAAAGAGCGCGUAGGCGGUCUGUUAAGUGUAGAGUGAAAGCUCCGGGCUCAACCCGGAAAUUGCUGUGCAUACUGGCAGACUUGAGGAUGGAAGAGGUUUGUGGAAUUCCUGGUGUAGCGGUGAAAUGCGUAGAUAUCAGGAGGAACACCCAUGGCGAAGGCAGCAAACUGGUCCAUAUCUGACGCUGAGGCGCGAAAGCGUGGGUAGCAAACA